AGCGGAGGAAAAGAAACCAACAGGGAUUGCCUCAGUAACGGCGAGUGAAGCGGCAAAAGCUCAAAUUUGAAAUCCCCCGGGAAUUGUAAUUUGAAGAGAUUUGGGUCCGGCCGGCAGGGGUUAAGUCCACUGGAAAGUGGCGCCACAGAGGGUGACAGCCCCGUGAACCCCCUCAACGCCUUCAUCCCAGGUCUCCAAGAGUCGAGUUGUUUGGGAAUGCAGCUCUAAGUGGGUGGUAAAUUCCAUCUAAAGCUAAAUACCGGCGAGAGACCGAUAGCGAACAAGUACAGUGAUGGAAAGAUGAAAAGCACUUUGAAAAGAGAGUGAAAAAGUACGUGAAAUUGUUGAAAGGGAAGGGCUUGCAAGCAGACACUUAACUGGGCCAGCAUCGGGGCGGCGGGAAACAAAACCACCGGGGAAUGUACCUUUCGAGGAUUAUAACCCCGGUCUCAAUUUCCUUGUUGCCCCGAGGCCUGCAAUCUAAGGAUGCUGGCGUAAUGGUUGCAAGUCGCCCGUCUUGAACCACCG
Molecule: ribosomal RNA, 528 nt
Filed under: Metschnikowia aff. fructicola KKS
Lineage: Eukaryota; Fungi; Ascomycota; Pichiomycetes; Serinales; Metschnikowiaceae
Description: eukaryotic LSU rRNA
Rfam family: Eukaryotic large subunit ribosomal RNA
Source: RNAcentral